Molecule: ribosomal RNA, 301 nt
Filed under: uncultured bacterium
Lineage: Bacteria
Description: partial 16S ribosomal RNA
Rfam family: Bacterial small subunit ribosomal RNA
Source: RNAcentral
CAGCAGCCGCGGUAAAACAGAGGGUGCGAGCGUUAAUCGGAUUUACUGGGCGUAAAGCGUGCGUAGGCGGCUAAUUGAGUCGGAUGUGAAAUCCCCGAGCUUAACUUGGGAAUUGCAUUCGAUACUGGUUAGCUAGAGUGUGGGAGAGGAUGGUAGAAUUCCAGGUGUAGCGGUGAAAUGCGUAGAGAUCUGGAGGAAUACCGAUGGCGAAGGCAGCCAUCUGGCCUAACACUGACGCUGAGGUACGAAAGCAUGGGGAGCAAACAUGAUUAGAUACCCGAGUAGUCCCUGUCUCUUAUAC